Long non-coding RNA from Haemorhous mexicanus (house finch), 3509 nucleotides. RefSeq lists it as uncharacterized. NCBI's taxonomy places the organism in Eukaryota, Metazoa, Chordata, Aves, Passeriformes, Fringillidae. The record is from RefSeq and is a predicted model, not a curated record. The transcript has 3 exons.
AAAAGGCAAUUCUUGUUGUUUAAUCUUUCCAGUCCAGAUGUACUCUACCCUAAGGAAGAUCUGUUGAUGCAGUCUAUUCAGAUGCAGGAUUCGGACCCAGGAUUCACCCUGCUCCUAAGCCUGGACGAGGACAGCCGGGAGGGGAAGGAGCGGUGGGUGCCCGGGCGGGAGCAGCGGAGGGCAGGGGAGCCGCGCUGCCACAGAGCGGAGCGCAGGAUGGCCGUGCCGGGGACGGCUGCCGCAGGGCCACUUGUGCCGGCCUCCGCAGGGGGUAGUUUGGCAAUGGCCAGUGUCAGUGCACCUUUCAGAACCUGCGGUGAAGCCACGGUCCCUGCACAGUAUUUCUUGCUCGGAUUGCAAAGUGGGUGCAGAGCAGUCCCUCCAAGGCUGGACAGCACACGGCAGCUGCGGUAGCUCUCCCCUGCCACCGAAGCGAGGCAUGGCUAAUGCACAUCCAGCCAGACAAACGGACCGGGCUGAUUCCGAACUUGGAGUGACCCUGGGUCAACUGCACCUUCGUACUUUGUGUUACAAGGAAAUGCCGUGCAGCAGCACCCCAUGACCUGGUGUUCGCAGGAGAUGGCCAUCAAUGAAAAACUCUAAUGAAAACACAGCGUCCACCGAGUCUCUCCAUUAUGUGCUCAUUCUUUUUAUGCUCUCAAACUAGUUUUUCCCCUUCGUUUUUUUUUUCCUUUUUUCUUUUUUUUUUUUUUUUCUUGUUCUUUUUUCUUUCUCUCCUGUUGCUAAUGAGCACUUGAGAAUUUGAUUUAGCUCCUUGGAAUGACUGCCACUUACUGCUAGAAUGUUAAUCUGUCUAAACCCAUUCAGCUCCUCUUACUUGGAAGUCAAUCACCUGGAGCCUGCAUUUUAAAGAGACGCUGGCUAAAGCAGUAGUAACAGCAGAGAUGUUUUGGGACAAUUCCCACAGUUGGGAGCAAUCUCGGGAAGCUCAUAGCUACUUGACGGCAGACAGUGUUGAAUCUCCGGCAUAAGCAGAAGUGGAGCAAACCCCGACAAAGAGCAGAAGGGCAAAUGGAAGGGAGACAGGAGGCUGUUGAGCUGCAGCUCCCACACGGGAUACUGUACUGGCGUGUUUUGGGGAACAACCUUUAGUUAAUGGUGAGAAUAUACCCAAGGAGGGCAUAGGCAAACGAGGUCAGAGGAGGUACUCCAAAACACAGCUGGAGAUAAAGCUUUAAAGUCUCAGAGGAGGAGUUUGGCUUUCCAGAAGUAAUCAGAGAGAGAAUUUAAUUUGUCUUGUGGUGGCCAUUUUUUAAACCCCUGUUUGGAGGGGUUUAAAAUGCACAGAAUUCCAUAUUAAAUGUAGGACACAUGGACAUCACUUGGGAUAGUUGAUGUUGUAGUGGAGCUGUGUACCUGUAAAUCAUCCCACUGUGCUAUUCUGGAAAUGUUUCUGUUUUAGCUUCCUUAGCACGCUUAGAAACCCCUGUCUGUCAGACCAUGCUGCCCAGGCCAGAGGGGCAGCCACUGCUGGCCGCGAGUAGGAGAGCCAGGAUCUGGGGGGUGCACUCGGAGUGGAGGGGACAAUGAGGUCCCUGACUACCAGAAUUGCUCCUGGGUAUUGCUUUGCAUUUUUGAAAUGGGAAGAAGUGUGUUUUACCUGUGGUACACCCCACCUCUUUCACUGUCCCUUCACUCCCUCUGCAGUUCUCUGAUGGCAAACUUUGCAGAGAGAAGAUGUAAUAACUUAACAGCAAGAAAGGUUGCUUUGCUGCUGCUAUGGAGGAGCAGACUGCUCCUGUGAUCCCAUGUGGAAAAGCACAUUUUUGGAAUAAGUAAAAUGUUCAGAGACAUUAUUUGCUCUUUCAAUAAAAUUUUCCCUUCUAAAUAAGAAAUGCAUCUUUGGAGUGCAUCUCCAGAACCUUAUAAAUAAGAAAUGAAGAAGGAAGGUCACAGUAUAUAUUUUGUCAGCAUAUGCAAUCUUUUAUGAAGAGACAGUUGGAGAUGGAACUGGGACUCCUUUAGGUACUUGUACAUUUAUCUGCUGUCCUAGUUCUGAAACAAAAGAACAUAAAAAAUUAAAAGUCCAAUGCACCACUAUAAUUGAUUUAUAAGCCAAAUGGAAGAUUGUGUCCAUAAGGUUUAGGAGACUUAUCUUACAUGACACCUAAUGCUGUAUGACCAGCCUGAUACGCUUGCUACAGCGUAUGAUCAGAAGAAUAUUUUAGCAGUUGCAUUUAAGCCUGCAGUAUGCAGGCACAGUAAUAUCCUAGUACCUAAGUUUUGAUGUAAACUUUCUUUAAAUUACUUAUUAAUUAGCAAAAGUGGUUUGAGGGAUCAAGUACAGCAAUAUCAAUGUGGUUUCAAGUUCUCCUCAAAAGGGAUUUUUGUUGUCUAUAAUGGAAGAGCUACUUUAGUGAAUUUGCUUCUAAUUUUCCAUAGACUUCAAUAGGAAAAAUGGUAGGAAGAGCAAUAUAUUCUGUUUCUGAAAAUUUCAAAAGAAAAUGAUGGACUCAAUCUGUUGCAGUUACCAGCAAUGCACCCACUGCAGAGUGCCUCAGGGGAAAGCCUAGUACCCAGUAGCACUAGCAACUGGGUAAGCCUAAGACCAUCAAAGAAAAACAUCCAAAAAUGGCCAUUAUUCAAAGAAUGAGAUGUUUUCAGGUACUUUGCUGGAAAAAAGAAGGAGCAUUAAGUGCAGCCAGGUUCCUAAGCUAAUGUGGAUGGCUGGCUUUGUAUUGUGAAGCCAGAAAAAUUUGCCCCUGUUCAUGUGGCAGUCCUGUGGCAACAUGAGUCUUUGUGUGUGAAGAAAUUAAUGUCUUCUCCAUUUAUUAACAUCAAUUCUUUGUAAAAAAAUUAAGAGAUGGACAGAUUGUAGGUACCUGAAGAAGAUUUCUAAUCUCCUGUCAACUGGGGAAGCCAUUUCUUAAAAAUGAAUAAAUCUCCAGCUUAUUUCAGCUCACAGGUUUUAAGCUUUAAAAAAAAAAGUUUUAAUGAUUUCUAUUUUAUUUUAAUUAUCUGAGGUCUAAAGGAAAACUGGUUUUUGACACACAAGAGUAUUCAGAGCUUUUGGCAGUGAUGGGAAGAUAAAAUAAAGCUAUUUAAUGUCUGGAUGAAAUAACCAGACCUGCCAAAAAAAUUCCUUAGGGAGGUAGAGGAAGAGCAAUCUUCAGGCUUUUCUUCAUCGAUUAUUGUGGCUGAGGGACAGAUGAACACCUGUACGAGUUGUGACUGUGGAACCUCUGCCUUGCACCCCUCUGCACAGGGGCAGUCACCCUGGGCUCAGAAGCGUAGAGGGGACGCAAGUCUUCCAAGCCUGGCCAAGACUUGGUCAUGCUGCCAAUGUAGCCCCUGCAGGAUUAAAAAACCUUUUGUCUUUUAAUUCACUCUGCAAGGAUACCUGAGGUAUCUAAUUUUAAAAAUCUUUAAAAAGUAUGUCAGCCACGAGUUUGAUCUUUCAAUAAUUUGCAUGAGUCCCAUUCCCCGAAAAGUAGAGGUUUGUUAUUAUAAAUGGUUGUCAAUGACUGGGGUUAAGCUGUAAGCUGAUC